UCAUAACCAUGAUUUGUGGAUUUCCGCUUGAUAAACAGACGAGUUCAAAAUCAAAACCUCAAGUCCAAAAUAUUAUUACUGCGGGCUGCCAACAAGGCUACGUUAGAGUUCAUGGCAAGUGUGUUCGUACUGCUUCUGAUCGCAAGUAGGAAAACCUAUUGGAAUCCAAGAAUGUCUGUCUAAACAAAAUGUAGGUAUUUUUUUACUGUGUACAAGCUCAUUUAAAAUAAAUCUCAUGAACUUAAUUUGUAUUUUAUUUAUAAUUACAUGCGCUCAAUUAAAUUUCCAUUUAAUUAAUGUUUUAAUAUACGGAAUUUUUUCACAAACCGCAGAAUUUUCUGGUUUCAUAUCAAUUCAAAUAGGGAUGUGCUUAUCUGAUAAGAAACUAUACUUAAAUUUAAAGACGCUUAAAAACCCUUGGAUUUCCGAAAAAAAUGUUUUGUUAAAUAAACAUAUAACUUAUUUUUUUUGAUUACAGGAAGUAGACAACGUGCAAGAAAAAGUAUUUACUAUUUUGUAAUUUACAUGUAUUUUUGUAUAACAAUUUUGACGAAUUUCUACCUACUUAAUUUAUUUUAACAUUCUGAACAACAUUCUAUAUAAGCUUACAUUUAACCAGUACUUUAUUUAUUUCACCUCCUUUUUGUUCAAUUAAACUUGCGACCAAAGUGAGACAGCAGAACAUAGGAGGAAUUUAGUCCGGAAUUUAAUUUAUAUUUUUUAAGUACAUUUUUCCUUUAUUUUAUGCAAAUAUUUUGCAAAAAUAUACGUGACAUAAUUCGUGCUUAUUUUGAUAGUGAUAUGGUAUUACUUAAUGUAUGAUAACGAGCUUUCUGUUGAUUUUUGCGGUUUCGAAUGAUACGAAAAAAGUUGAUCCUUGUAUAAUAUUAUGGAUUUUUAAAAUGAAUAGAAUUGUACUCGGGAUUAUAUUAUUAAUUUUUACGCUACAAUAAAAUAUUUCAUUACCAUACUAAAUACGACCUCAAGAAAAAUUACACUUGACUGCGUGUUCCAGCAAGAGUUUUAAUAGAAACGGUUGCUUAGAUCCAAUAAAAUAAAAUAAGAAAAAAAUCAAAUUAACAUUAACUUCCUUCUUGUUUAUCAUAAUUAUUCACAGUCGGCUAUCCCACAUAUCCAAAAAUCUGUUGUAAUAGAACAACACGUUACAUUAUCAGAGCAAUUUUUUCAAGGAUAUAUGUUUUGCUAUAUAAGCCAUCAUUUGUUGAACAUCCAGGUAUACCUACCCAGAAUUGAAGAAUAAACAAUCAACAUGAAAUCUAUGAUUGCUGCUCUUUUUGUGGUUUUGGCUCUCGCCUCAGCCUAUGCUGCUGUGAUUCCCCUAAGUGCUGGAGUCAUUGGCUCUCCCCUUGUUGCCUCUCCAUGGAGUGGAGGCCUCAUCGCCUCCCCAUGGCUCGGCUCUCCUCUGAUUGGCACAACUAUUUUGUAAAUUAAUGCUUACACUCUGUACAUACGGAAUAAAUAAAUGCAACUAUUUUUU
Tribolium castaneum (red flour beetle) is the source of this 1498-nucleotide long non-coding RNA. RefSeq lists it as uncharacterized. The record is from RefSeq and is a predicted model, not a curated record. NCBI's taxonomy places the organism in Eukaryota, Metazoa, Arthropoda, Insecta, Coleoptera, Tenebrionidae. The transcript has 3 exons.